RNAcentral lists this transfer RNA (62 nucleotides) under Echinostoma caproni. RNAcentral's name for it is "tRNA-Cys". Lineage: Eukaryota; Metazoa; Platyhelminthes; Trematoda; Plagiorchiida; Echinostomatidae. The record is from RNAcentral.
GGACGUGACGCAUUAGCGUGAUACUCUGCAAAGGUAUUGUAGAUGUUUUGCAUCCUCGUCUU